Molecule: long non-coding RNA, 680 nt
Organism: Homo sapiens (human)
Lineage: Eukaryota; Metazoa; Chordata; Mammalia; Primates; Hominidae
Source: Ensembl
AGUUCUUGAAGCUAAAGGGGGUUAAGCUCAAAUGUAGUUAAUGACAGAGUAAAAUUAAAUAGGUAUCUUUACUACAGGACUUUUCUGAGCAUUUAAUAUGCUAAUGUGCAUGAUUAUGGCUUGGAGCCUCAAAUCACUUUGUGAUUCAAGAUGGCAACUGGAAGAAAGAGGAGAUAACAAAAAGAGACCCAAAGUGACACCAAGUCUGAGCACACCAUUGGAGAACCUAGGAAGCUCUACCCUAAAGAACUUUCAGACAUGUGCACAAGAAGACCUCUCCCUCCAAUCCCAAAGGGGUCAGAAACUGCAAUUAGCAAGCUGGAGGAGGAGGAGGAGGAGGAAGAGGCACAGAAGCAGGAGGUGGGGAGCCUGAGACAGAGAUCAUCCUGUCUGCCCUUCCCACUUCAGGCUACCACCUCUUGCAGACCUACGUUAAAUGAAAUGAGAAGCCUCAACUUUGACUACUAUUAAGGUAUUACAUAGAAGUAGACAUUUUAGGGGCCAAAAUAAAACUUUCUGGGUGACUAGAAGAGCACAAAGGAUCUCUCAUUUUCUGAAAGUGGAGUGAUCGAAAAAAGCCACUGUGCCAUUCCUGGAAUUCAUUCAAGAACAGAAAAAAAUUUGUCCUACUGAGUGGGCUAAAAGAAAUAGGGGAAAGAUUAAAGCUGUCAUGUGAUUUC